This 375-nucleotide ribosomal RNA is filed under the name uncultured organism. RNAcentral describes it as "bacterial SSU rRNA". It matches the Rfam family "Bacterial small subunit ribosomal RNA", at positions 526 to 896 of the family's 1533-position model. The record is from RNAcentral.
CGGAGGGUGCGAGCGUUGUCCGGAAUCAUUGGGCGUAAAGGGCGCGUAGGUGGCCCGGUCAGUCUUUGGUGAAAGCGCGGGGCUCAACCCUGCGUCGGCCAGGGAUACUGCCGCGGCUCGAGCACUGUAGAGGCAGGCGGAAUUCCGGGUGUAGCGGUGGAAUGCGUAGAGAUCCGGAAGAACACCGGUGGCGAAGGCGGCCUGCUGGGCAGUACAGCUGACACUGAGGCGCGACAGCGUGGGGAGCAAACAGGAUUAGAUACCCUGGUAGUCCACGCCGUAAACGAUGGGCACUAGGCGCUUGGGGGAGCGACCCCCCGAGGGCCGGCGCUAACGCAUUAAGUGCCCCGCCUGGGGAGUACGGCCGCAAGGCUG